Molecule: non-coding RNA, 45 nt
Filed under: Schistosoma mansoni
Lineage: Eukaryota; Metazoa; Platyhelminthes; Trematoda; Strigeidida; Schistosomatidae
Source: RNAcentral
AUCCAGCUGACGAGUCACAAAUCAAACGAAACGCGCGUCCUGGAU